This 503-nucleotide ribosomal RNA is filed under the name uncultured bacterium. RNAcentral describes it as "partial 16S ribosomal RNA". It matches the Rfam family "Bacterial small subunit ribosomal RNA", at positions 28 to 523 of the family's 1533-position model. The record is from RNAcentral.
GACGAACGCUAGCGGCAGGCCUAACACAUGCAAGUCGAGGGGUAGCAGGAUUAAGCUUGCUUAAUUGCUGACGACCGGCGCACGGGUGCGUAACGCGUAUGCAACCUACCUUAUACUGGGGUAUAGCCCGGAGAAAUUCGGAUUAAUCCCCCAUAGUACUAAUGAAUCGCAUGGUUUAUUAGUUAAAGCAUUGCGGUAUAAGAUGGGCAUGAGUCCUAUUAGCUAGAUGGUGAGGUAACGGCUCACCAUGGCUACGAUAGGUAGGGGGCCUGAGAGGGUGGUCCCCCACACUGGUACUGAGACACGGACCAGACUCCUACGGGAGGCAGCAGUGAGUAAUAUUGGUCAAUGGGCGCAAGCCUGAACCAGCCAUGCCGCGUGCAGGAAGAAUGCCCUAUGGGUUGUAAACUGCUUUUAUUUGGGAAUAAACCUCUUUACGUGUAGAGAGCUGAAGGUACCAAAUGAAUAAGCACCGGCUAACUCCGUGCCAGCCGCCGCAGUAA